This 253-nucleotide ribosomal RNA is filed under the name uncultured bacterium. RNAcentral describes it as "partial 16S ribosomal RNA". It matches the Rfam family "Bacterial small subunit ribosomal RNA", at positions 524 to 776 of the family's 1533-position model. The record is from RNAcentral.
UACGGAGGGUGCAAGCGUUAAUCGGAAUUACUGGGCGUAAAGCGUGCGCAGGCGGUUUGUUAAGUCCGCUGUGAAAUCCCCGAGCUCAACUUGGGAAUUGCAGUGGAUACUGGCAAGCUGGAGUAUGGUAGAGGAAGGUGGAAUUCCCGGUGUAGCAGUGAAAUGCGUAGAUAUCGAGAGGAACACCAGUGGCGAAGGCGAGUCUCUGGACGACUCCUGACACUGAGGCACGAAAGCUAGGGGAGCAAACAGG